This 513-nucleotide ribosomal RNA is filed under the name uncultured bacterium. Its description in RNAcentral is "partial 16S ribosomal RNA". It matches the Rfam family "Bacterial small subunit ribosomal RNA", at positions 28 to 523 of the family's 1533-position model. The record is from RNAcentral.
GAUGAACGCUGGCGGCGUGCCUAAUACAUGCAAGUCGAGCGAACAGAUAAGGAGCUUGCUCCUUUGACGUUAGUGGCGGACGGGUGAGUAACACGUGGGUAACCUACCUAUAAGACUGGGAUAACUUCGUGAAACCGGAGCUAAUACCGGAUAACAUUUGGAACCGCAUGGUUCUAAAGUGAAAGAUGGUUUUGCUAUCACUUAUAGAUGGACCCGCGCCGUAUUAGCUUGUUGGUAAGGUAACGGCUUACCAAGGCGACGAUACGUAGCCGACCUGAGAGGGUGAUCGGCCACACUGGAACUGAGACACGGUCCAGACUCCUACGGGAGGCAGCAGUAGGGAAUCUUCCGCAAUGGGCGAAAGCCUGACGGAGCAACGCCGCGUGAGUGAUGAAGGGUUUCGGCUCGUAAAACUCUGUUAUUAGGGAAGAACAAACGUGUAAGUAACUGUGCACGUCUUGACGGUACCUAAUCAGAAAGCCACGGCUAACUACGUGCCAGCCGCCGCAGUAA